GGUAUCUCCGUGACGGUAGCCUCGGUAAGAUGGAGGGUGACAGCGUUAAUCGAAAUUAAUGUGUGUAAAGCGUGCGCAGGCGGCUUAUUAAUUCAGAUGUGAAAGCCCUAGGCUCAACCUUGGAACUGCAUUUGAAACUAAUAAACUAGAGUAUCGCAGAGGGAGGUAGAAUUCCAGGUGUAGCGGUGAAAUGCGUAGAUAUCUGGAGGAAUACCAGUGGCGAAGGCGACCUCCUGGACGAAAACUGACGCUCAAGCACGAAAGCAUGGGGAGCAAACAGGAUUAUAUACCCGGGUAGUC
This 300-nucleotide ribosomal RNA is filed under the name uncultured Helicobacter sp. Its description in RNAcentral is "bacterial SSU rRNA". It matches the Rfam family "Bacterial small subunit ribosomal RNA", at positions 496 to 795 of the family's 1533-position model. Lineage: Bacteria; Pseudomonadati; Campylobacterota; Epsilonproteobacteria; Campylobacterales; Helicobacteraceae. The record is from RNAcentral.